RNAcentral lists this ribosomal RNA (304 nucleotides) under uncultured bacterium. Its description in RNAcentral is "partial 16S ribosomal RNA". It matches the Rfam family "Bacterial small subunit ribosomal RNA", at positions 506 to 807 of the family's 1533-position model. The record is from RNAcentral.
CAUCAGUCGCCACGGGAAUACAGAGGGUGCGAGCGUUAAUCGGAUUUACUGGGCGUAAAGCGUGCGUAGGCGGCUUCUUAAGUCGGAUGUGAAAUCCCUGAGCUUAACUUAGGAAUUGCAUUCGAUACUGGGAAGCUAGAGUAUGGGAGAGGAUGGUAGAAUUCCAGGUGUAGCGGUGAAAUGCGUAGAGAUCUGGAGGAAUACCGAUGGCGAAGGCAGCCAUCUGGCCUAAUACUGACGCUGAGGUACGAAAGCAUGGGGAGCAAACAGGAUUAGAUACCCGAGUAGUCCCUGUCUCUUAUAC